ACUGAUUGUUAAUGCACUGUUCUGGAGAGGCACAACACAACUGUGACCAUAUUUGCCUUCCCUGUAAAAGUCAAUAAGAUGAAGCAUGAACCUAAUUUCAACUUUCACAGCAAACAAAAAUUAAUGAAUAAAUUGCAAAUAAUUAAAAAGCUCAACCUUGAGAAUAAAUCAAGGUAGCAAUAACCCAAAAGUUCACUUGAACUUAAGUCAAAUACUGCAAAUACACGAACAUCACAAUGCCAAACUUCAGCUCCUGCAAUUUCCUCAAACCUUAAACCUGCCCAGAAAGUAACAAGAAUUACGAUGAAUGUGUAUUUUCAGUAUUAAAACAAACUGAAAACUUAGAAAAGGAAUUCUCAAUAAAAAAGAAUUUGGUGCAGGAAUAAUUAAUUACGCAAGCAGUUAAUCUCGCCAAUAAAUGCUUACUCGUGAACUACUUUAUGAACACUGGAAAGUGAACUGGUUAAUUAUUCCUAAACUGGAAAUGUUUUACCAUGAAUCACUUUCCGGUUCCUUUUCAAUAUUAACAGUAUCUGAUGGUCAAGACAAUAAAAUAUAACUACAAACAAAUUGUCAGAUAAAAUUACCAAAAAGAUCUUGGACAAUUUUGAAGAUUCCAGAUAGAACUAAACCAAUUGGUAAGUAUUGCUUGAUCUCGCCGAAGUCCAAAUCAUAACUCUGUUCUUCGACCCGUUUUACAUAAUACAGUAGGUCUUCGAUUCCAAAUGGAAACUCCCCUUCCUCUUUCUUCUGAUAUCACAAUGAAUUUAUAAUAAGAGAUUUAUAAAUUAAAUCAAACAACAAACACCAAAAAUGUGCAAACCUUCAAAUCUUUCAAGACAUCAAGUUCUUUUGUAGCCAUGUCAGUAACACGUACGGAUAUGUCAUUCAGAAACUCGAACACCUGGAGAAAAAAAUAACAGAAUAAGAUAUUAGAUUCAGGGAAAAAGUGUAGGAAAAAACAUUAAGCGGUCAACUAAAUUAAUCUGUUAACACUUACUUUAUGGAAAAGCAACAAGACAGCAUAUCCAUUUCUAGUUCCAAUAUAUAUUUAACAGGAAAAGGAAAAAAAAAAACAAUAAUUGUACUUGAUUUUAUAAUUAGUGGUUACUGGUGAUGUUUCACAUCCUUCAACUUUAUCGAUUGCAAACAAGAAUGGGCUAAACUUUCCGAAACGACAUAUGUGGCUUAUAAUGCUUUAAGUUAGAAGAAAAAAGAUGAGCAAAGAGUGAGUAAAAACAAAAGUGUGCUUAGAUAGGCUUGAUGGCAUGAUACAUUGUUGAGUUUACAUUCUUCUUUACACAGAAAAAUUUAUAAGUAAAACAAAAAAAAUAGAAGUUCAGAUGGAAUUCUCUUCUAUAACUAGGCAAACCCAAAAGAGAAGCAAUUCAUGAUACAUCUAACUAAACUCCAAGUCUCUGAUGGAAAAAAAAAUAUUAUUGCAUCUCUACAAAAAAAUUACAAACCUUUGUCGGUGUUUUUGCCAUUCUAACAUCAACAGCAUACUCAGCAUAGCACGAAUAACCAAGUAAGCGAGCAUAUUUAUGACGCUGUUGCACCUGAAUCGUGCCAAUAGAAUAUCAACGUAAAUAAACUUAUAUCACUUUGGCAUUGAAGUGUAAACACAUCCAGAACCAACACAUAUAAAACUAAAUGAAAGAUGCCCAAACGGCCCUCCAUAAAUAAUUCAAAUUUUAUGCUAUAAACUAACCUACAAGUAAAGCUCGUAAUAAACUAAUAAUCGUAUAUACACAUUCAAAACUGAAAAUACAUUCAAAUCUAGAAUAUUCAAAUGCCUUAUAAGUUGUUUCGGUUAAUGAAAAUGUAGAACAAAAUUAAAUUCAGUCCAUUUUCUUUUUCCAAAACUCUAACUACCAAUUAAAACAUAACUUGUAUAUUUAUAUCUCAAAAGCACGUCAGAAAUAUUUGAUGAUAAAUAACUGAAAUUCUUAAAGAAAAUGUCAUAAUGAAAAUUACCAGACUUUCUAAAAUAGAAAGAUUGGCUUCUCCGCAACGAUUCCCAUAUGCCCGUGAUACCAUCCUUCUCGUAGUUCCAACCUUCAUGUGAUCAAUAAAGAAUUUUAGACUUUGUCAGUAUAUUUUCCUUAAAUAACACUUGGACAAAAAUUUAUCAAGAAAAGAAGGAUGCUUUUCUAAAAAGCAUAAUAAUUGUGAAUGCCUAUGGAACAAGUGGUAUACAAGGUACCAAUAUGUUAUGUAUCAAUAAUAAUAUCGCAAAGUAAGAACCACAGUUAACCAUUUAAUUUUGAGACCUACACAAUAAUUAAAUAAUAAAAGUUCAUUGUGGACAAUUUACAAAAUCUAAAACAAUUCAUUCUGACAAAAAUAUGAAGCAGCGCUGCUUAAAAGAUUUUUUUGUAAUAAAAAAACACAGUGAAGGAAGUCAUUCCAGCUUCCCGGUCUACAUCUUCCAAGUCAAAUCCCCUUGGAAAGAGACUACAACUGGACUUUGGAUGCUUAUAAUUAUUGGAGUACCAGUGGUGCAAGAACCAACUUAAUCACAUUCGUGAUAAUGUCACUAAAAAUAAAUAUGAAACUAUUAAUUAAUACUUCAUCCACCAUACCUUGCAAAAUUCGAGUACAGCUGUGACAUGAUGGCUUCUCAAGGAGAUCUUCAAUUGUCCAUUUUCAGAUUUAUCUAAACCCUGUAAAGAAGAUAUAUAUUCCUAAGUAUAUAACAACCAGAAAACAAAAAGGGUUAACUGAAGGAAAUGCAAAAGCAGUGAUUAGGCUACAUAAAAAGCCAUGCAUGAAGGCUUCGAGUCAAACCAGGUAUAAAUAUUCCACUUAUCCAUAGUAAUAGUUAAAUCAAUCUGUAUAAGGACCUGUUUGAAUUGCCUCAUUUGAGCUUAUCUACUGGCAUAAGUUUUGCAAACUGUUUGGAAGAAUUUAUGAAAACAGCAUAUGACAUUGUUCAUACGUUGUUUUCAACUUAUUUUCAUGAGUUCUUCAAGAUAGCUCAUACGGAAACAGUUUCACUUUAUUUUAUCGUUUGCUAUACAAAUAACUUAUAUGUAAGCACUUAACCUGAUAAGCGAUCGUGCUAUAAGUUGCAAAUAAGCUGUUUAUCCAAACAGGGCCUAAGACAUGGAGAGGAAACCAGCCUAUUGUGCAUUAAUCAUACCCUUAGGUAGUACAAUCGGUUAAAUAAUUUCCUGACCUUAAAAUCUACAUUGCCUCUAUUUAUUUUUUCAAUUACUUAAAAUCCUAUUCCUUUAAACUCUUCUUUCCAUAGUCGCAUAAGUUCAUACUCUUGAGGCCUGUAUUUGAGACUUUAAAUUGGAAUGGGAGGAUGUGGUUUUUCAAUCGAAAAGAGAGGAAAGGUAGUAAUCUUCUGGUCAGAAUUUAAUAUAGGGGAAAAAAAUAGAAUAUACAUUAUCCGAUUUGUUCAGGACAUGGAAUAAAGCGGAAGUGACCGGAAAUGAACUUAUUGGUUUACCUUUUUAGUGUGAAAGGAUGAAUCGGACGUAACAUUGGGGGGUGGGGGGGCAGGUUAUUCGAUGCAGCAUCCACUUCCCAAACACGUGAGUGGUAUGGCUGUCCAUUCCCUUCCUGUUACUUCCACUAUUUUGUCCAAAGACAGAUACAGUAGAGGAUUCUCGUAAUGCUUCCACAUACCACCUCAAAAUUCAAGUUCAAUGAGGAAGCAAUCAUUCCCAGCCCGCCCUCAAGAGUUUUAUGACUCAAUUAUGCAAUUUAUGGCUCGAUAAAUAAUAGAUUACAAUGGAUUUAGAAUUAAAAUAAUAUAAACCAUAAAUUUGAAGUUAAUUAAUAGCAUACAAAUAAAAUUUAUUAGUUGAUUUGGGCCAUGAGUCAAAAGUGGAAAGCAAAUUUUUCAGAAACAUGACUACACUUGUCAAGUGGAUUGAUGGAAGAAGGAUAUAACAAACCUUGAGAAACUCUGGAGGUAAUCCAGCUAACUCUGACUCAUUGAAGGGAAGAAAUGCGCUAGCAUCGUUAAGAUUUUGGAUAUAUAUAAUGCUUAACUCGUCAAUCUGAGCUUUUAUACGCAGCAACUCUUCUCUUUUGCUUGCACUAAGGUUCAAUCCAUUUCGCUCAAAAUCUCUCACCUGUCACUGAUUAGGAAAGAAUCAACAUCUGGAUUGUACGGUUCUUGUGGAUAACUAAAUUAGCAUAUGAUUAUGAUGCAACUCCAUCAUUUCAGCAACACACACACACACAAGCAGUAACAAAUUGAUUCGGUAAGUUUCCAUAAAAUUUCCAAAAAAAAAAAAAAAAAAAAAAAAAGACUGAUGCCAAACAACUAUUUACUUUUUACCAGAAUUUGAACAAAGCUUUUGAUUUCAGCAUUCAUCCAGUCCCCCCUCACUGCAAAUGCUUUAACGACAAGAUAUAUGUCUUCACGUUUGCUGAUCCGCUUGCAUGGAAUAGCACACUAUUUAGUUUCUUAAUCCAUCAAGUGAAAAGAUGUGUGAUCUUCAAAAAAACAAAUAAACACCACACAUUGUGUGCAGCUUAACAGCAUGGGGGAGCUUAUCCUCACUGUCUUCAUUCUGUCAAUCCAGCAAACUUAGCAACCAGUCCCAUAUUAUCCCUAAGUUUUUAAGACAUUUAUGCCCCACCAGAAAUGGAUAAGGACAGAAAUCACAAAUAGUGUAAGAAACUAAAUCAAUGACAACGAACCUGCAAAUGUUAAGAUGAGCAUCUAUUCUUCGCUCUGCUUCUGCACUUGCUUUGCGCUCAUCCUCCCGUGUAGAUACCAGCUUUGGUAACAGGCAAGAUUGAAUCAAUGGAAAUUGUUGCGCUUGAAGUUCUGCUAGAGGUGAUAUAACAUUUGCAUAUGUAACC
Molecule: long non-coding RNA, 4830 nt
Filed under: Medicago truncatula (barrel medic)
Lineage: Eukaryota; Viridiplantae; Streptophyta; Magnoliopsida; Fabales; Fabaceae
Description: lncRNA gene17734
Source: RNAcentral